RNAcentral lists this unclassified non-coding RNA (281 nucleotides) under Hevea brasiliensis (rubber tree). The record is from RNAcentral. Lineage: Eukaryota; Viridiplantae; Streptophyta; Magnoliopsida; Malpighiales; Euphorbiaceae.
GAACAUCCUUUCAUCAUCUGAGUGGGUGGUUAAGCAGGGUUUACUUUGUUAAUAAAUACAUCCAAUGAAUCAAGAGAAUGCAGAAGAGUGGUAGACACAGCUGAAUGGAUAAAAUAGAUUGACUUGGACUGCGGUUGGAUUAGCGGAGUUAGAAUUGAGAGGUCUUGGAGUGAACUUGUUAAAAGUCCCAGCAUGUUGAAUCUAAGGACUUUUUAAAAAUAAUCAUGGUUCAGACAAAGUUUUGUUGGUUAUGCAGUAGAUAUAUCCAAGUAGUGUUGUUU